RNAcentral lists this non-coding RNA (166 nucleotides) under bovine gut metagenome. RNAcentral's name for it is "Lysine riboswitch". It matches the Rfam family "Lysine riboswitch aptamer". From Rfam's summary of the family: Riboswitches are metabolite binding domains within certain messenger RNAs that serve as precision sensors for their corresponding targets. The record is from RNAcentral.
UGAGAUAGAGGACGCGUCACGUCAUCAGUAGUGAUCCCGUUUAUCAAUGCAGUGCAGGGAGAAGCGAAAGGGACUGACGCCGAAGUGAAGCCGGGCUGCAUCCGGGCGGAUCUGGGCGGACGUAAUAAGAUGCGGACGACUGUCGCGAAUACGCGGAGCGCUAUCC